This is a long non-coding RNA of Monopterus albus (swamp eel), 126 nucleotides long. RefSeq lists it as uncharacterized. Lineage: Eukaryota; Metazoa; Chordata; Actinopteri; Synbranchiformes; Synbranchidae. The record is from RefSeq and is a predicted model, not a curated record. The transcript is spliced from 3 exons.
AUAAAGCAUCAUUCUGUAGCGGAAUGAUUUCGUCACAUCCGUGUCGAGGUACUCUGCGUUGUGAUUAACCCGGCUGGAGACAAUCUUUCAGCUACAAAUGUCUUUAUUGCUGGUACAGAAGACAAC